This 328-nucleotide ribosomal RNA is filed under the name uncultured eukaryote. RNAcentral describes it as "partial 18S ribosomal RNA". It matches the Rfam family "Eukaryotic small subunit ribosomal RNA", at positions 1470 to 1796 of the family's 1831-position model. The record is from RNAcentral.
CCCUUAGAUGUCCUGGGCCGCACGCGCGUUACACUGAUGCAUUCAACGAGCUUAUAACCUUGGCCGAGAGGCCUGGGCAAUCUUGUUAACGUGCAUCGUGAUAGGGAUAGAUUAUUGAAAUUAUUAAUCUUGAACGAGGAAUACCUAGUAAACGCAGAUCAUCAAUCUGCAUUGAUUACGUCCCUGCCCUUUGUACACACCGCCCGUCGCACCUACCGAUUGGAUGGUCCGGUGAAGCCUCGGGAUUGUGGUUCUUGCCGCUUUAUUGUGGCGUGACCGCGAGAACUUGUCUAAACCUUAUCAUCUAGAGGAAGGUGAAGUCGUAACA